CCUACGGGUGGCAGCAGUGAGGAAUAUUGGUCAAUGGCCGCAACGCUGAACCAGCAAAGCCGCGUGAUUGAAGAAGGAUUUAUGGUUUUUAAGCUUCUUUUAUAGGGGAAUAAUUGUAUCCACGUGUGGAUAUUUGCAUGUACCCUCUGAAUAAGCAUCGGCUAACUCCGUGCCAGCAGCCGCGGUAAUACGGAGGGUGCUAGCGUUAUCCGGAUUUAUUGGGUUUAAAGGGUGCGUAGGUUGUUUUUUAAGUCAGCGGUGAAAGUUUGCGGCUCAACCGUAAAAUUGCAAUUGAUACUGGCAGCCUUGAGUGCAGUUGAGGCAGGCGGAAUUCGUGGUGUAGCGGUGAAAUGCGUAGAUAUCACGAAGAACACCAAUUGCGAAGGCAGCCUACUAGACUGCCACUGACAUUGAUGCGCGAAAGUGUGGGUAUCAAACAGGAUUAGAUACCCCUGUAGUC
This 460-nucleotide ribosomal RNA is filed under the name uncultured bacterium. Its description in RNAcentral is "partial 16S ribosomal RNA". It matches the Rfam family "Bacterial small subunit ribosomal RNA", at positions 338 to 795 of the family's 1533-position model. The record is from RNAcentral.